This 987-nucleotide ribosomal RNA is filed under the name Rhithrogena sp. Ep6557a. RNAcentral's name for it is "partial 28S large subunit ribosomal RNA". It matches the Rfam family "Eukaryotic large subunit ribosomal RNA", at positions 363 to 1092 of the family's 3401-position model. The record is from RNAcentral. Lineage: Eukaryota; Metazoa; Arthropoda; Insecta; Ephemeroptera; Heptageniidae.
GUUGAAAAGAACUUUGAAGAGAGAGUUCAAGAGUACGUGAAACCGUUCAGGGGUAAACGGGUGGAGCCCUAAAGGUCGAACGAGGAGAUUCAGUGUUCCGUCCACUGGCCGCCCGCUGCCGUUGGGUAAACUUCUGCUCCCUGCCUUGUGUAGGUUCUCGCGGAGGGCCCUCGGUGGUGGUCUGCGCGUUCGGUGGGGUUGCGCACUUCUCCUCUAGUAGCACGCCGCGACCCGUUAGGUGUCUGUCGAAAGCCCGGGGGCGAGCCCGAGGCACUUCGGUGCUUCGGAGUCCUGGUGUCUAGGCAGACAGCCUGACGGUCUUACAAGAGGAAAAGGCCCGCGUGCUUUGCUCGCGCUCGUGCCUCGUGCGAACGUCCGGUCGCGUGUCGUUGUGCGGACUUGUCCGCCGCGGCCCGUCUGGCGUUGUCGGCGCGGGGUUUCUCGAGCAGUGGCCUGCUCCCGUCUGCGGCGGUAACACAGGGCGGCCCACCCGGCCCGUCUUGAAACACGGACCAAGGAGUCUAACAUGUGCGCGAGUCAUUGGGUCCCACUACACCCAAAGGCGUAUUGAACGAAAAGGCCGUCCUUCGCGUCGGCUGAGGGAAGAUGGAGGCUCGCUCGCGGGCCUCCCGCAUUCCCGGGGCGUCUCGUCCUACCGUCGCUCGUCGGCGGAAGGUGAGGCGCACCAUGAGCGCACACGUUGGUACCCGAAAGAUGGUGAACUAUGCCUGGCCAGGACGAAGCCAGGGGAAACCCUGGUGGAGGUCCGUAGCGAUUCUGACGUGCAAAUCGAUCGUCAGAGCUGGGUAUAGGGGCGAAAGACUAAUCGAACCAUCUAGUAGCUGGUUCCCUCCGAAGUUUCCCUCAGGAUAGCUGGCGUUCGGAGAUUCGAGUCCCAUGCGGUAAAGCGAAUGAUUAGAGGCCAUGGGGUCGAAACGACCUCAACCUAUCCUCAAACUCUAAAUGUGUGGGAACCGCGGCUUGCUU